GUGCUUAUGGGUGCCUGGCCCUGGGCUGAGUGCUUGAUGUGCAAGGGCCUUAGAAGAGGUUCAAUUCAACUCAGACUUCAUAAGAAAGCCAAAACCUGGUUUUAUGAUUGCAGUCCUCAGCCUGGGCUGCCUGAAGACGAAGAUAAAGAGCAAGGUUAUUGCUGGCUCAGGUCACAUUAGCCAGACUUCUGUGCUCUGUACGCAUUCAAUUUCCUCCCCUCCAAACAUCAUCCCUGGGAACUGCUGAGUUCAGAUAGAAUAUGUGUUGGUAGUUUGCAAUUGGGUUAUUAUCCAUUUGUUCGUAAAAAUUAACCUUUUGUAUUA
This 324-nucleotide small RNA is filed under the name Pongo abelii (Sumatran orangutan). RNAcentral describes it as "processed transcript". Lineage: Eukaryota; Metazoa; Chordata; Mammalia; Primates; Hominidae. The record is from RNAcentral.